GGCAGCGGCCGGAAUUCCCCAAUUCCCAAAAAUCCCCAGAAACCCGGAAAAAUGGGAAUGGCAGCGGCCAAAAUUCCCCAAUUCCCGGGAAAAUGGGAAUGUUAGGGACCAAAAUUCCCCAAUUCCCAGAAGUCCCAGAUGCCCACAGCCCCAGAUUCCCAAAAACCCGGAAAAAUGGGAAUGGUAGAAAUCAAAUUCCCAAAUUCCUGGGAAAAUGGGAAUGGCAGCAGUCAAAAUUCCCAAAUUCUCAGAGAAUUCCUGGAAAAUUCCCAGCAUUCCCAGAGAAAUCCCAGAAUUCCCAAAUUCCCAAAUCCCCAGAAUUCCCAGACAAUUCCCAGCAUUCCCAAAUCCCCGGACAAUCCCAGAUAGUUCCCGGACAAUUCUGAGACAAUUCCCAGAAUCCCGGCAUUCCCAAAUCCCCAGACAACCCCAGAAUUCCUGGACAAUUCCCAGAGAAUUCCCAGCAUUCCCAAAUCCCCAGAUAAUCCCAGAAUUCCCAGAUAAUUCCCGGGGCAUUCCCGGUGUUCCCAAUUCCCCAGACAACCCCAGAAUUCCCGGACAAUUCCUGGCGUUCCCAAAUCCCCGGAUCAUUCCCGGACAAUCCCCAGACAAUUCCCGGCGUUCCCAAAUCCCCCGGCAUUCCCGCAAUUCCCAGACAAUUCCCGGUGUUCCCAAAUCCCCCGUCAUUCCCAUCAUUCCCAUGGAAUUCCCAUCAUUCCCGUCGUUCCCAUGGAAUUCCCGCCGUCAUUCCCGCCGUCAUUCCCGCUGUCGUUCCCGUCAUUCCCGUUGUCAUUCCCAUGGAAUUCCCGUCAUUCCCAUGGAAUUCCCGCCGUCAUUCCCGCCGUCAUUCCCUUCGUCAUUCCUGCCGUCGUUCCCGUCAUUCCCGUUGUCAUUCCCGUUGUCAUUCCCAUGGAAUUCCCGUCAUUCCCGUUGUCAUUCCCAUGGAAUUCCCGUUGUCAUUCCCGUUGUCAUUCCCAUUGUCAUUCCCGUUGUCAUUCCCAUGGAAUUCCCGCCGUCGUUCCCGUCAUUCCCGUUGUCAU
Long non-coding RNA from Chloebia gouldiae (Gouldian finch), 1040 nucleotides. The record is from Ensembl. Lineage: Eukaryota; Metazoa; Chordata; Aves; Passeriformes; Passeridae.